CACUAUCGUUAACUGAAUACAUAGGUUAACGAGGCGAACCGGGGGAACUGAAACAUCUAAGUACCCCGAGGAAAAGAAAUCAACCGAGAUUCCCCCAGUAGCGGCGAGCGAACGGGGAGCAGCCCAGAGUCUGAAUCAGCUUGUGUGUUAGUGGAACGGUCUGGAAAGUCCGACGGUACAGGGUGAUAGUCCCGUACACCAAAAUGCACAGGCUGUGAACUCGAAGAGUAGGGCGGGACACGUGGUAUCCUGUCUGAAUAUGGGGGGACCAUCCUCCAAGGCUAAAUACUCCUGACUGACCGAUAGUGAACCAGUACCGUGAGGGAAAGGCGAAAAGAACCCCGGCGAGGGGAGUGAAAAAGAACCUGAAACCGUGUACGUACAAGCAGUGGGAGCACCUUCGGGUGUGACUGCGUACCUUUUGUAUAAUGGGUCAGCGACUUAUAUUCUGUAGCAAGGUUAACCGUAUAGGGGAGCCGCAGGGAAACCGAGUCUUAACUGGGCGUUAAGUUGCAGGGUAUAGACCCGAAACCCGGUGAUCUAGCCAUGGGCAGGUUGAAGGUUGGGUAACACUAACUGGAGGACCGAACCGACUAAUGUUGAAAAAUUAGCGGAUGACUUGUGGCUGGGGGUGAAAGGCCAAUCAAACCGGGAGAUAGCUGGUUCUCCCCGAAAGCUAUUUAGGUAGCGCCUCGUGAACUCAUCUUCGGGGGUAGAGCACUGUUUCGGCUAGGGGGUCAUCCCGACUUACCAACCCGAUGCAAACUACGAAUACCGAAGAAUGUUAUCACGGGAGACACACGGCGGGUGCUAACGUCCGUCGUGAAGAGGGAAACAACCCAGACCGCCAGCUAAGGUCCCAAAGUCAUGGUUAAGUGGGAAACGAUGUGGGAAGGCACAGACAGCCAGGAUGUUGGCUUAGAAGCAGCCAUCAUUUAAAGAAAGCGUAAUAGCUCACUGGUCGAGUCGGCCUGCGCGGAAGAUGUAACGGGGCUAAACCAUGCACCGAAGCUGCGGCAGCGACACUAUGUGUUGUUGGGUAGGGGAGCGUUCUGUAAGCCUGCGAAGGUGACCUGUGAGGGUUGCUGGAGGUAUCAGAAGUGCGAAUGCUGACAUAAGUAACGAUAAAGCGGGUGAAAAGCCCGCUCGCCGGAAGACCAAGGGUUCCUGUCCAACGUUAAUCGGGGCAGGGUGAGUCGACCCCUAAGGCGAGGCCGAAAGGCGUAGUCGAUGGGAAACAGGUUAAUAUUCCUGUACUUGGUGUUACUGCGAAGGGGGGACGGAGAAGGCUAUGUUAGCCGGGCGACGGUUGUCCCGGUUUAAGCAUGUAGGCUGAUUGUCCAGGCAAAUCCGGAUAAUCAAGGCUGAGGUGUGAUGACGAGGCACUACGGUGCUGAAGUAACAAAUGCCCUGCUUCCAGGAAAAGCCUCUAAGCAUCAGGUAACAUUAAAUCGUACCCCAAACCGACACAGGUGGUCAGGUAGAGAAUACCAAGGCGCUUGAGAGAACUCGGGUGAAGGAACUAGGCAAAAUGGUGCCGUAACUUCGGGAGAAGGCACGCUGGUGUGUAGGUGA
Molecule: ribosomal RNA, 1575 nt
Filed under: Klebsiella pneumoniae
Lineage: Bacteria; Pseudomonadati; Pseudomonadota; Gammaproteobacteria; Enterobacterales; Enterobacteriaceae
Description: partial 23S ribosomal RNA
Rfam family: Bacterial large subunit ribosomal RNA
Source: RNAcentral